Molecule: ribosomal RNA, 253 nt
Filed under: uncultured bacterium
Lineage: Bacteria
Description: partial 16S ribosomal RNA
Rfam family: Bacterial small subunit ribosomal RNA
Source: RNAcentral
UACGGAGGGUGCAAGCGUUACCCGGAAUCACUGGGCGUAAAGGGCGUGUAGGUGGCGACACAAGUCUGGCUUUAAAGACCGAGGCUCAACCUCGGGACUGGGCUGGAGACUGUGUUGCUAGAGGUCUGAAGAGGUAAGCGGAAUUUCGGGUGUAGCGGUGGAAUGCGUAGAUACCCGAAGGAACACCAAUGGCGAAGGCAGCUUACUGGGCAGAACCUGACACUGAGGCGCGAAAGUGUGGGGAGCAAACCGG